AGCGAACGCUGGCGGCGCGCCUAACACAUGCAAGUCGAACGAGGAGGCGUAGCAAUACGCUUGUAGAGUGGCGAACGGGUGAGUAAUACGUGGGUGACCUACCCUCGAGUGGGGAAUAACCCGCCGAAAGGCGGGCUAAUGCCGCGUACGCUUCCGUCCUCACGGGGACGGAAGGAAAGCUGUACCGUGGGUACGGCGCUCAAGGAUGGGCUCACGUCCUAUCAGCUUGUUGGUAGGGUAACGGCCUACCAAGGCUACGACGGGUAGCUGGUCUGAGAGGACGAUCAGCCACACUGGCACUGCGACACGGGCCAGACUCCUACGGGAGGCAGCAGUGAGGAAUAUUGCGCAAUGGGCGAAAGCCUGACGCAGC
This 373-nucleotide ribosomal RNA is filed under the name uncultured bacterium. RNAcentral's name for it is "bacterial SSU rRNA". It matches the Rfam family "Bacterial small subunit ribosomal RNA", at positions 29 to 392 of the family's 1533-position model. The record is from RNAcentral.